RNAcentral lists this long non-coding RNA (285 nucleotides) under Gallus gallus (chicken). Lineage: Eukaryota; Metazoa; Chordata; Aves; Galliformes; Phasianidae. The record is from RNAcentral.
GAUAGUUUCAGGUUUUAGUUGUGGCAUCUUUUCCAAGAAAAGAUGUUUGUAAGUUUCCAUACCCAUAGCAUGCUGAUCUUUACUUCGUACUUGAUUCAAGAACCAGUGUAGUGCAUCAUCAUAACAUUCAGAAUCUUCUACUAAGCAGUGCCACAAUAUGUCCACUUGUUCUAAACUCAAUCUGAAAUGAUCUGGUGAUCCUAGAGUUGAAAAAACACAAGUCAAGAACUGAAGACGAACUUGAACUUCUGCACUGUGGCUAUAUAAUGCAUAUUUAUGUCGUCC